AAUUAGGAAGCAAACGAGCAGAACCAUACCAUCCCUUGACAUGGCAUGUUACCUCGAGAGAUCGGGGAUCCUCUUUGGAGGCGUGCACACAGGUGCUGCAUGGCUGUCGUCAGCUCGUGUCGUGAGAUGUUGGGUUAAGUCCCGCAACGAGCGCAACCCACGUCCUUAGUUGCCAUCAUUCAGUUGGGCACUCUAGGGAGACUGCCGGUGAUAAGCCGCGAGGAAGGUGUGGAUGACGUCAAGUCCUCAUGGCCCUUACGGGAUGGGCUACACACGUGCUACAAUGGCGGUGACAGUGGGACGCGAAACCGCGAGGUCGAGCAAAUCCCCAAAAACCGUCUCAGUUCGGAUUGCACUCUGCAACUCGGGUGCAUGAAGGCGAAUCGCUAGUAAUCGUGAUCAGCACGUACUAUUAGAUCUGGUCUGAUAUU
This 431-nucleotide ribosomal RNA is filed under the name Methylobacterium sp. P14UM. Its description in RNAcentral is "bacterial SSU rRNA". It matches the Rfam family "Bacterial small subunit ribosomal RNA", at positions 948 to 1374 of the family's 1533-position model. The record is from RNAcentral. Lineage: Bacteria; Pseudomonadati; Pseudomonadota; Alphaproteobacteria; Hyphomicrobiales; Methylobacteriaceae.